RNAcentral lists this ribosomal RNA (731 nucleotides) under uncultured bacterium. RNAcentral describes it as "bacterial SSU rRNA". It matches the Rfam family "Bacterial small subunit ribosomal RNA", at positions 771 to 1501 of the family's 1533-position model. The record is from RNAcentral.
AACAGGAUUAGAUACCCUGGUAGUCCACGCUGUAAACGAUGUCGACUUGGAGGUUGUGCCCUUGAGGCGUGGCUUCCGGAGCUAACGCGUUAAGUCGACCGCCUGGGGAGUACGGCCGCAAGGUUAAAACUCAAAUGAAUUGACGGGGGCCCGCACAAGCGGUGGAGCAUGUGGUUUAAUUCGAUGCAACGCGAAGAACCUUACCUACUCUUGACAUCCAGAGAAUUUGCUAGAGAUAGCUUAGUGCCUUCGGGAACUCUGAGACAGGUGCUGCAUGGCUGUCGUCAGCUCGUGUUGUGAAAUGUUGGGUUAAGUCCCGCAACGAGCGCAACCCUUAUCCUUUGUUGCCAGCACGUAAUGGUGGGAACUCAAAGGAGACUGCCGGUGAUAAACCGGAGGAGGGUGGGGAUGACGUCAAGUCAUCAUGGCCCUUACGAGUAGGGCUACACACGUGCUACAAUGGCAUAUACAAAGAGAAGCGAACUCGCGAGAGCAAGCGGACCUCAUAAAGUAUGUCGUAGUCCGGAUUGGAGUCUGCAACUCGACUCCAUGAAGUCGGAAUCGCUAGUAAUCGUAGAUCAGAAUGCUACGGUGAAUACGUUCCCGGGCCUUGUACACACCGCCCGUCACACCAUGGGAGUGGGUUGCAAAAGAAGUAGGUAGCUUAACCUUCGGGAGGGCGCUUACCACUUUGUGAUUCAUGACUGGGGUGAAGUCGUAACAAGGUAACC